UGUAAAAUAAAUCUCUGAAUUUAAAGGGAAUAUCGUAAUAACUUACAUGCAGUCUCUUUUACUAGAUGGAAGGAACAAUCAAGAAAAUCUCCAUAUAUCAAGGAGUUUAACAUUAAUAUUAAUUAUGUGGACAGUAAUACAUCGUUUUACGUAGACACACUCUUUAGAAGCCGCUUCAGACUAGGGAUGUUGUGGUAAGGUGUCAUCUUCUGGAUCUUCUGAAGUUCGGUUAUUUGUAGCUCAUUCUGUAUCUUCCUGGACAUCAUAUCAAAACGUACUGAAACAUGCUUUCAUCAUUCGCUGCUCUAACAUUGUUGGUAUUCACCUGUUUGUAUAUAUUGAUGGUAUGCUGUUAAAUCUGUAAUAAAGUUUUAUGAAGAA
Stegodyphus dumicola is the source of this 381-nucleotide long non-coding RNA. Lineage: Eukaryota; Metazoa; Arthropoda; Arachnida; Araneae; Eresidae. The record is from RefSeq and is a predicted model, not a curated record.